GACGAACGCUGGCGGCGUGCUUAACACAUGCAAGUCGAACGGAAAGGCCCUGCUUUUGUGGGGUGCUCGAGUGGCGAACGGGUGAGUGACACGUGAGUGACCUGCCCUUGACUUUGGGAUAACUUCUGGAAACUGGGGCUAUUACCGGAUAGGAGCUCCUGAUGCAUGGUGGGGGUUGGUAAGUUUCGGCGGUUGGGGAUGGACGCGCGGUUUAUCAGCUUGUUGGUGGGGUAGUGGCUUACCAAGGCUUUGACGGGUAGCCGGCCUGAGAGGGUGACCGGCCACAUUGGGACUGAGAUACGGCCCAGACUCCUACGGGAGGCAGCAGUGGGGAAUGUUGCACAAUGGGCGGAAGCCUGAUGCAGCAACGCCGCGUGCGGGAUGACGGCCUUCGGGUUGUAAACCGCUUGCGCCUGUGACGAAGCGUGAGUGACGGUAAUGGGUAAAGAAGCACCGGCUAACUACGUG
RNAcentral lists this ribosomal RNA (468 nucleotides) under uncultured bacterium. RNAcentral's name for it is "partial 16S ribosomal RNA". It matches the Rfam family "Bacterial small subunit ribosomal RNA", at positions 28 to 507 of the family's 1533-position model. The record is from RNAcentral.